UAACGCGAAGAACCUUACCUGGGUUUGACAUAUGCCGGAAAGCUGCAGAGAUGUAGCCCCCGCAAGGUCGGUAUACAGGUGGUGCAUGGCUGUCGUCAGCUCGUGUCGUGAGAUGUUGGGUUAAGCCCCGCAACGAGCGCAACCCUCGUCCUAUGUUGCCAGCACGUCAUGGUGGGGACUCAUAGGAGACUGCCGGGGUCAACUCGGAGGAAGGUGGGGAUGACGUCAAGUCAUCAUGCCCCUUAAGUCCAGGGCUUCACGCAUGCUACAAUGGCUGGUACAAAGGGCUGCGAUACCGCAAGGUGGAGCGAAUCCCAAAAAGCCAGUCUCAGUUCGGAUUGGGGUCUGCAACUCGACCCCAUGAAGUCGGAGUCGCUAGUAAUCGCAGAUCAGCAACGCUGCGGUGAAUACGUUCCCGGGUCUUGUACACACCGA
Molecule: ribosomal RNA, 435 nt
Filed under: uncultured bacterium
Lineage: Bacteria
Description: bacterial SSU rRNA
Rfam family: Bacterial small subunit ribosomal RNA
Source: RNAcentral